Molecule: unclassified non-coding RNA, 281 nt
Filed under: Hevea brasiliensis (rubber tree)
Lineage: Eukaryota; Viridiplantae; Streptophyta; Magnoliopsida; Malpighiales; Euphorbiaceae
Source: RNAcentral
UAUCAUUGCAUUCGUGAUCUCGACAUUUUGUGCGGUAAUUGUACUCGCGCUUCGCGAUGUCAUCAGCUACGCCUUUACAGAAGGCCCCAUCGUGGCUGCCGCUGUCUCUGAUCUUUGCCCACUUCUCGCUCUCACGCUUCUCCUCAACGGAAUCCAACCUGUUUUAUCUGGUGUUGCAGUCGGGUGCGGUUGGCAAGCUUUCGUGGCCUAUGUAAAUAUCGGUUGUUAUUAUGUCGUCGGAGUUCCCUUGGGGGCUCUCCUUGGUUUCUAUUUCAAACUGG